GGUUAAGCGACUAAGCGUACACGGUGGAUGCCCUGGCAGUCAGAGGCGAUGAAGGGCGUGCUAAUCUGCGAUAAGCGCCGGUAAGGUGAUAUGAACCGUUAUAACCGGCGAUACCCGAAUGGGGAAACCCAGUGUGAUUCGUCACACUAUCAUUAACUGAAUCCAUAGGUUAAUGAGGCGAACCGGGGGAACUGAAACAUCUAAGUACCCCGAGGAAAAGAAAUCAACCGAGAUUCCCCCAGUAGCGGCGAGCGAACGGGGAGGAGCCCAGAGCCUGAAUCAGCAUGUGUGUUAGUGGAAGCGUCUGGAAAGGCGCGCGAUACAGGGUGACAGCCCCGUACACAAAAGCGUAUGUGCUGUGAGCUCGAUGAGUAGGGCGGGACACGUGGUAUCCUGUCUGAAUAUGGGGGGACCAUCCUCCAAGGCUAAAUACUCCUGACUGACCGAUAGUGAACCAGUACCGUGAGGGAAAGGCGAAAAGAACCCCGGCGAGGGGAGUGAAAAAGAACCUGAAACCGUGUACGUACAAGCAGUGGGAGCACCCUUUGGGGUGUGACUGCGUACCUUUUGUAUAAUGGGUCAGCGACUUAUAUUCUGUAGCAAGGUUAACCGAAUAGGGGAGCCGGAGGGAAACCGAGUCUUAAUUGGGCGUUAAGUUGCAGGGUAUAGACCCGAAACCCGGUGAUCUAGCCAUGGGCAGGUUGAAGGUUGGGUAACACUAACUGGAGGACCGAACCGACUAAUGUUGAAAAAUUAGCGGAUGACCUGUGGCUGGGGGUGAAAGGCCAAUCAAACCGGGAGAUAGCUGGUUCUCCCCGAAAGCUAUUUAGGUAGCGCCUCGUGAAUUCAUCUCCGGGGGUAGAGCACUGUUUCGGCUAGGGGGUCAUCCCGACUUACCAACCCGAUGCAAACUGCGAAUACCGGAGAAUGUUAUCACGGGAGACACACGGCGGGUGCUAACGUCCGUCGUGAAGAGGGAAACAACCCAGACCGCCAGCUAAGGUCCCAAAGUCAUGGUUAAGUGGGAAACGAUGUGGGAAGGCCCAGACAGCCAGGAUGUUGGCUUAGAAGCAGCCAUCAUUUAAAGAAAGCGUAAUAGCUCACUGGUCGAGUCGGCCUGCGCGGAAGAUGUAACGGGGCUAAACCAUGCACCGAAGCUGCGGCAGCGACACUCAGG
Molecule: ribosomal RNA, 1177 nt
Filed under: Salmonella enterica
Lineage: Bacteria; Pseudomonadati; Pseudomonadota; Gammaproteobacteria; Enterobacterales; Enterobacteriaceae
Description: partial 23S ribosomal RNA
Rfam family: Bacterial large subunit ribosomal RNA
Source: RNAcentral